ACGGGAGGCAGCAGUGGGGAAUAUUGCACAAUGGGGGAAACCCUGAUGCAGCGACGCCGCGUGAGUGAAGAAGUAUUUCGGUAUGUAAAGCUCUAUCAGCAAGGAAGAAAAUGACGGUACUUGACUAAGAAGCCCCGGCUAACUACGUGCCAGCAGCCGCGGUAAUACGUAGGGGGCAAGCGUUAUCCGGAUUUACUGGGUGUAAAGGGAGCGUAGACGGCAUAGCAAGUCUGAAGUGAAAUGCAUGGGCUCAACCCAUGAACUGCUUUGGAAACUGUUAAGCUAGAGUGCAGGAGAGGUAAGUGGAAUUCCUAGUGUAGCGGUGAAAUGCGUAGAUAUUAGGAGGAACACCAGAGGCGAAGGCGGCUUACUGGGCUGUAACUGACGUUGAGGCUCGAAAGCGUGGGGAGCAAACAGGAUUAGAUACCCUGGUA
This 434-nucleotide ribosomal RNA is filed under the name uncultured Lachnospiraceae bacterium. Its description in RNAcentral is "partial 16S ribosomal RNA". It matches the Rfam family "Bacterial small subunit ribosomal RNA", at positions 341 to 792 of the family's 1533-position model. Lineage: Bacteria; Bacillati; Bacillota; Clostridia; Lachnospirales; Lachnospiraceae. The record is from RNAcentral.